This is a long non-coding RNA of Carassius auratus (goldfish), 1961 nucleotides long. RefSeq lists it as uncharacterized. The transcript has 3 exons. Lineage: Eukaryota; Metazoa; Chordata; Actinopteri; Cypriniformes; Cyprinidae. The record is from RefSeq and is a predicted model, not a curated record.
GUAGCAGCAGAACACACGGGACCGAAAUGGCGUAGCGCGCAGUCCUCCGCCGCAGCAGCGAAGCGGGGCCAGGCUCACUGAACGUCUCAGAGCCUGGCCAGUCGAACUCAACUGACGAGUAUGAUGGAGGUGAUUUUAGUUCCAGUUCACUCGCUUCGAAACCAGCACGAGAUCACCGGAGACGUGCCCUUCAUAUGUCAUAUCAAGAAGAGAAAGGAACAGUGAUGAAAUUAACUCAUGACCCGAUGAGACCGUCAUGCCAUUGUUCUUCGAACUACUCUUCAUCCUGAUAAGUUUACAUUCCUCCAGCAUUAUUCAAGGGAAAUGUUUGUUCAGCAUACCAACUGUCAUUGGUCUAUGAACAUAUCAUCUCUACACUUUGGAGACAACAACUGAAGUAGUUUUUAUCCAUGAAAGAACCAUAAGCUCUUCAUGUCCAAAAAAAAGUAACACAAUUGUGCCACAGUACAGAGCCAUCCUCUGUUCAUAUUUGUUACAAAUAAAGUCCAGUCUAAUAUUUAUAUGGUUGCAGGUUGUGUAAAAAAAAAAAAAAAAUUAACAUGGAAAUAGUGGAAGCGCACUUGCUUUGCAGGUAAAACAAAUGCACAUUUAAAAACUAAAUCAUGCAAACAAGAUGAAGUAGCUUCAUCUAACAGUUUUAUUAUCUGCAGAUUAAGUGCCUAGACGCAUCUUUUUUUAAAAAGCUCCCAUCUCCCGAUUGUCUGUUUCCAUGGCUUAGCUUUAAAACUACCAGUAAAGCACUAUUUGGUCAUUUAUUUAAUAAAUGUCUUGAAAAUGGCUGAAAAUUUAUUUUCUGAGGCGACAAACUGUAGACAGAUAGCUGUUCUCUUAAUUCAGAACUCAUAUUGGUGCUUUCGCAAAACCAUGAACCAUGCUUUCAUAUUUUCUAAGUACUGACAAACUGAGACAGACAGUGGCACACUUACCUGAGCAUAAGCUUUAUAAAUUCCACAGUUAAACCUUUCUAGUGGGGGUGGGGUGCUAAUGAGAUGCAGGACAUAAUGGAAUAUAAUUAUUUUACUACCUCAGAAGUUACCACAGCUCAGACCCACACAGCGAGCACUACGAUCAAACUAUACUCGCAUGCUUUCCUCACAGUAAUAUAAAUCGAGUCAUUGUCUGUCAGAUGCUUUGGAAAUCAUUUGGAAUAGUGAGCUUCUUUCUUUUCACUUCAUUUAUGUUAUUUUAUUAAUAGGUUUGGGAAUAUCACAUAAAUCAUAUAGAGACCUUGUAGUUCACUGGUCAGACUCAGUCAGCCAAAAGUUUGGAAUAAUUUUUUUAGUUUUUUUUAACUAUUGUGUCCUGAAGGACCAUGUUAUACUGAACACUGCAGCAAUAUAUGCUGAAAAUUUAGCUCUGCCAUUAAAAAAAAUUGAUUACAUUUUGAAAUAUACAUGAAAUAUAAUAUACAUAUGUACUAUUUUACAUUACUGUUUUUAAUGUAUUUUUAAUCAAAUAAAUGUAGCCUUUGUGAGCAUAAAAUCGUAAAACCAAAACCCUUAAAUAAAUAAAUAAUCUGAAUUAUUCCAAAGGUCUGGCCCUCAGUAUCUAUUUGUCCUACAUGUUUUCCAAGAGGAUAAAUUAGAGUGAAAUAAACAUGUCAUUUUCAUCUAGCAACGUUCUCAUUGUUAUCAUCCUCAUUAGGCUUGAAGGCAGGCGGUAGAAUGGUUAAAUGUUAGACCCUGGUCACAAUGUUUUUAAAUUGUUGUUAAUAGUUUAGUAUUGUUAAUGUAUCAUCUCAAAUAGAUUAUGGCAAGUUGGUCACAGCCUUUGCUCAGUCCUCAGCAACAGUGCACUGUGAACAUAGGAACUUAACUUCAUCUGUGUUGAGAAAAUGUACCGAGUUUUUGUUUAGUUUUUACAGUAGUUUAGUUUCUAUCAUAUGGAUUGGUAGAAAUAAGAGUGUCAUGUACAGAGUAUGAAUUUUCAUGAAAAAAAAA